This 2746-nucleotide long non-coding RNA is filed under the name Canis lupus familiaris (dog). Its description in RNAcentral is "lncRNA (ENSCAFG00845000237.1)". The record is from RNAcentral. Lineage: Eukaryota; Metazoa; Chordata; Mammalia; Carnivora; Canidae.
AAAUGGUAGUGACUUAUUGUAGGGGGAGAAUAAUGUUACAGAUAUUUUGUAAUAAAAGAUGCCAUAUCACACUUUGCCAAAUUCUUUGUACAGUGGUAACUUCCAACUGCCACUACGACUUUGUCAAGCAAAACCCCUCUGCCUGUCCUGAGUCAUAUUUUGAAAGUGUAUCUCUAUGACAUCCAGGAUUUUGCCUCCCCCUAUGCAUAUGCUCUGAGUGGUGAGAUUGCUUCAGAGAGCCAUUUCAACGCUUAUGUAUAUGAAAUAGAUUGAGACUGUUCCCAAAAUGUAGAUAUUUUUUUGGACCAAAUGUUGAAAUUCAAUGACAACAACAAUAGCAAUAAUAAAUUCUGGAACUUAAUAGCUAACAAAUAGAGACCACAAAAUAUCAUGGGCCAGCUCUGAUAAGGAUUUAAAUGUAGAUCUCAUUUGAUUCCCACAACUCUUGAUGGGAUAUUCCAGACUCAAAACUUCCCUACACUCUAAAGCUCUUAAUCAAUGACACUUACCUUAAUUUUUGUCUCAGCUUCUGUUUCCUGACUAAGCUGGACCCAGCAUUGAAAUAGCACUUAUUUCAUAGUAUAAUUCAAGGUAGCAUUAUAUUUAAUACAAAACAGAAAGACCCAAAUUUGUGUCACUGUCAGAACCCAGACCGAUAUUAUAUAUUAUGUAUGGCAACUUUCUAGAUAAGUGAUACUCAUUUAAUGAAUGUCUUGAUCAGAUAUUCUAGAGGACAAAAAGUAUUACACAUGCAUUUUUAUUGUAUGAGGCUCUUAGUCAUAACAUCAUCUACAACUUCUUCAACAUAAAGGUCCUAGUAAAUAAUUUGCCUGACUCAAAUAUGAUAUAAUUAUUUAUUAUAAAAUUUAUCAAUUCCAGAUCAUGAACUCCAAAUUGCUCUUUCAUAUCCUUGAAGGAGACCUUAAGUGAUAAAGAAAUUCCUCUGACCUUGAAGUGACUCCAAGAGACAAUUUAAAGGCAAGACACAGCAGCAUUCAAGGAAAGCUCACCAUAAACUUGAAUACACUCCAAAGAGGGGGUUGUUCUUGUCACCAUGGUGAUUUUAUUCUUUCCUGGACUGAGCUCAGAAUGAAAGGGGAGGAGUUUUCAAAGGAAAGAUACUGACAUAGGUGAAUCAAAAAUGUAGAUACAAUAUCGAGCCAUUAGUAGAGAUAUGGUGCUUGAAGUUUUCAGCCCAUGUUUGGGAUCAGAUGCUCAAUUAAGAUAAUUGACUCUUAGGUAGCCUGAGAAAGCACCGUUUUGUUGUAAAAACAUUUUAAGUGAUUAGAGAGUUAUCUUAUUAUUAUCAAUACUCUGCUGAAAAGCAUUACACUGGUAUUUCCUCAACAAACAUUUGCAAUGUUUACUAUUCCUAUGCAAUGUGCAGAGUGCAUUACAUCCAUUAUUUCACUUAACACUUAAAAAUCUAUGAGGUAAAUACUAUGAUUAUUCCCAUGUCAAAGAUGCAGAAGUUAAAGCAAAUGAAACCAAGAAAAAUUCUUUUGGCUUUUGCUUUUGGUCUGAUUUUAAUCUUUUUUGUUGUUGUUGUUCCCCAAUGAUGUAUCCUUAGAAAAAAUGAGGUUAAAAAGCCCCAUCUUCAUGGAACCUGCAUCCUGGUGGUUCGCCUAGGUCACACAGCUAGUAAUUAGCACAGGUGAGUGUCAAAUCUAGGUUGGCAUUUAUAAACACUACCAUAAAUAACUAGAACCUGUGUAUCAAAGCAUAUAUAAAUAUUAUAUGAAGCUCUGGUUAAUACUGGCCAAAUCUGCAGGUCAAAUUUUUGCAUGAUACAGUUAGGAAGACCCCUGGCAUGAGUCUGGAGUGCUCAUAGCUAUCAUUAGUUGUGUGCCCUAUUGUGAGAAUUUCAGGAAUCAACUACCAAGAAGGUAACUUCUUUCCUAUUACAUAUUAUCCAGAAGCCUGUCUAGACUUCUGGCAAUUUCUGUCUGCCACAAGUGGAGGAUGAUUCUGUUGGAGUUAGGAAGGGCCUUCUCUUAAACUGAGCAAAAAAAGCAGAAAUUUAUCACAACCAACCCUGGCUGCCAUUUUGGUGACAGAUGCCACACCUAGGUCUUCCCCAAACAGUCCUGGAAUGGCUCUCUGGAAUUCUGUAUGUGCCAGCAGUCAUUUUCAGACAUGACAAUCUUUUGCUGAUGCUUUCCCUCUUGCUCUCCAUGUGACCUUCAUCACCUAUUCUUUCCUCAGUUACUCUGAUUUCUGACCUUCACAAUUGUGGGGGAACAAUUAUUUCCUUUUAGAGAAAACACGGAGACUCUGGCACAAUGAAUAUCUAGGUAAUGUUUAUCAGCACAGGAGCGUAUGGACCCUCUUCCUCAUGGCCCAGAGGUCCUAAUGUUGUUGACCUCUUGACCCAAAAACAAAGAAGCCCCCCAAAGCCUCCAAACCCUCCAUUGUUUCUUUUUCAAAUACUUUGGAGAAUUCCUAGCCACUUUCUUCAUUUCCCUGAAGGAAAUGCAUGGGAGCCAGCUGCUAAGUGCUGGUGUGUUUGCACACACCUGUCUGUUUAUUUUUUAAAAUGUAAUUGGGAAUAUGCCUAGAACCAUGAGUCUGUUUCUGUAGUGCACUCUAAGCAGAUUUAGGCACGCAAAAGACAAUCACAGCCUUGUAUUGUGCAUUUAUUGCACGCAUAGUUCUCUGGUUGGCAUUUUGCAAAGAUAUAAUGAUCAGAAAUGCCUGGAACACAAACUUUAAAUGGGGAGAUGAGGUACUAAAAAGUAACUGAAAA